RNAcentral lists this ribosomal RNA (504 nucleotides) under Dryadomyces quercivorus. RNAcentral describes it as "eukaryotic LSU rRNA". It matches the Rfam family "Eukaryotic large subunit ribosomal RNA", at positions 125 to 648 of the family's 3401-position model. Lineage: Eukaryota; Fungi; Ascomycota; Sordariomycetes; Ophiostomatales; Ophiostomataceae. The record is from RNAcentral.
CCCCCCCCGGGGGCCCGAGUUGUAAUCUGGAGAGGAUGCUUCUGGCGCGGCGCCCGGCGAGUUCCCUGGAACGGGACGCCGGAGAGGGUGAGAGCCCCGUACUCCGGGCCGCCUAGCCUCUGCGAAGCUCCUUCGACGAGUCGAGUAGUUUGGGAAUGCUGCUCUAAACGGGAGGUAAAUUUCUUCUAAAGCUAAAUACCGGCCAGAGACCGAUAGCGCACAAGUAGAGUGAUCGAAAGAUGAAAAGCACUUUGAAAAGAGGGUCAAACAGUACGUGAAAUUGUUGAAAGGGAAGCGCCCGUGGCCAGACUUGCGCCCCGCGGCUCACCCGGCGGACCCCGCCGGGGCACGCCGCGGGGCGCAGGCCAGCAUCGGCUUCCCCAGGGGGACAAGGACGGCGGGAACGUGGCUCCUCCGGGAGUGUUAUAGCCCGCCGCGCCAUGCCCCUGGGGGGGCCGAGGACCGCGCUUCGGCAAGGAUGCUGGCGUAAUGGCCACCGGCGAC